GAUGAAGAACGUAGCGAAAUGCGAUAAGUAAUGUGAAUUGCAGAAUUCAGUGAAUCAUCGAAUCUUUGAACGCACCUUGCGCCCUUUGGCCAUUCCGAAGGGCAUGCCUGUUUGAGUAUCAUGAACACCUCAACUCUUUAUGGUUUUCCAUGAUGAGCUUGGACUCUGGGGGUUUUGCUGGCUCACAGUCGGCUCCUCUAAAAUGAAUCAGCUUACCAGUGUUUGGUGGGUAUCAUGGGUGUGAUAACUAUCUACGCUUGUGGUUUUUCCACCAGGUAACCUUCAGCAGUGGAGGUUCGCUGGAGCUCAUAGAUGUCUCUCCUCAGUGAGGACAGCCCUUUGAAUGUUUGAUCUCAAAUAAGGUAGGACUACCCGCUGAACUUAAGCAUAUCAAUAAGCGGAGGA
This 405-nucleotide unclassified non-coding RNA is filed under the name soil metagenome. Its description in RNAcentral is "partial contains 5.8S ribosomal RNA, internal transcribed spacer 2, and large subunit ribosomal RNA". The stretch from base 1 to 121 matches the Rfam family "5.8S ribosomal RNA", at positions 35 to 154 of the family's 154-position model. The record is from RNAcentral.